GCACUGCUCUUGCUCUCUCUUAGCAGGAACUAAUAAAUAAACGUUAGCCUGAUAAUAACAAUGCAAAGCUCUGCCAGUGUACAGCUGAAUGAGAGGGACGAGCAAGGAGGGAGAGGUGGAAAAUAAUGCCGAGAGCAAGAGACUGAGGCUAUUUGGAGAUUUGUUGUGGAGUUCUGAGCAGCAAGAAAAAGGGACUGGACAGAUUUUCUUUGACUUGGCUAGGUUAGGGAAAUGGGGAGUGGGGAGAAAACAAAGGCUGACAUGGCCUUACUGGAAGGAAGGGCUUCCUUUGUCUGCUUAGAAGGGGAGGAAGAACUUCGAUCUUGGCACUGUUUGAAAUAUGAAGCCUCCUUUGCUUUCUUUGAAGGGAGGUGUGAGAAAGGGGAAGAAACUGGAAUCUUGGAUUUUUGGUGUACCUGGAAGGGAUAUCUUCUGGUUCCUGAAAAUAGGGGGGGGGGGGUUGCACAUCUUAAUUCUGCUUUCUUCACUCAGAAGUCUGCUGAAGAAGGCACAGCAGAAGAACACAAUUUAGAGAAGCUGCUCUCUGUGAGAAGAGGAAUGGCAUGCCAGCUCACCCAAGACAAGCCUCUUUGAGAUCAGCAACUGCAGCCUCUUUUGCUCCCUCUGGAAAACAUCUGCAUAUUUCUCUGUCCUGAGAAUGGAGCAACUUGAGAAACUGCAAGUCACUUCUGGUGUGAGAGAAUUGGCCAUCUGCAAGGACAUUACCCAGGGGAUGCCCGGAUGUUUUGAUGUUUUUACUAUCCUUGUGGGAGGCUUCUCUCAUGUCCCUGAAUGGAGCUGGAGCUGAUAGAGGGAGCUCAUCCACACUCUCCUCGGGUUGGAUUCGAAUCGGCAACCUUUAGGUCAGCAACCCAACUUUCAAAUCAUCAGUCCUUCUGGCACAAGGGUUUAAUCCACUACGCUACCUGGGACUCACUUGAUGAAAACAUGGGAGACAGCCUUCCCAGUGGCUAUCGCAGGUUGUAAAAACCCCAUCUCUUUAUCAGCCUUCCACAUAUGAUGUUUUCACUAUCCUUGUGGGAGGCUUCUCUCAUGUCCCUGAAUGGAGCUGGAGCUGAUAGAGGGAGCUCAUCCACACUCUCCUCGGGUUGGAUUCGAAUCGGCAACCUUUAGGUCAGCAACCCAACUUUCAAAUCAUCAGUCCUUCUGGCACAAGGGUUUAAUCCACUACGCUACCUGGGAUUCACUUGAUGAAAACAUGGGAGACAGCCUUCCCAGUGGCUAUCGCAGGUUGUAAAAACCCCAUCUCUUUAUCAGCCUUCCACAUAUGGAAGACUACUUUCCUUUUGGCACAGGCAAAGGCAAUUCUGCUUAAGCAGGCUUUUAAUGUAUAAAUGUGGUUGGUGGGGUGCUAUUAGGGAUGUUUUCUUUAACUUUUAAACCCAUUGUAACUUUUUAAUUGUUUUAAAAUGUUUGCUGGACUGAUUUAAAUUAUUUUUUGAUUUUAUUAUAAUUUUUUAUGUAUAGCCCUUAGAAACCACUUCAGAUCCCGCUCUGGGAGAAAGCAGAAUAUAAAUAAAUCAAAUAAAUAAAUAAAGAAUAAAGAAUAAAAUACAAUAAAUGGC
Long non-coding RNA from Anolis carolinensis (green anole), 1586 nucleotides. RefSeq lists it as uncharacterized. The record is from RefSeq and is a predicted model, not a curated record. The transcript is spliced from 2 exons. NCBI's taxonomy places the organism in Eukaryota, Metazoa, Chordata, Lepidosauria, Squamata, Anolidae.